AGCUCCAAUAGCGUAUAUUAAAGUUGUUGCAGUUAAAAAGCUCGUAGUUGGAUUUGUGGCUGUCACGGGCGGCCUAUCACUUAGUGUUAGUGCUUGCCUGUGUCGCCAUCCUUGGGUGGAGCCCGUGUGGCAUUAGGUUGUCGUGCGGGGGAUGCCCAUCGUUUACUGUGAGAAAAUUAGAGUGUUCAAAGCAGGCAUUCAUCGUGCCCGAAUACAUGAGCAUGGAAUAAUGGAACAGGACUACGGUCACUGCACUUUUUCCGUUGGUUUCGGAGGACCGAAGUAAUGAUUAAGAGGGACAGUUGGGGGCAUCCGUAUUUCGUAGUCAGAGGUGAAAUUCUUGGAUCUGCGAAAGACGAACGAGUGCGAAAGCAUUUGCCAAGAGUGUUUUCAUUAAUCA
This 400-nucleotide ribosomal RNA is filed under the name phytoplankton environmental sample. RNAcentral describes it as "partial small subunit ribosomal RNA". It matches the Rfam family "Eukaryotic small subunit ribosomal RNA", at positions 587 to 979 of the family's 1831-position model. The record is from RNAcentral.